ACUAAUUGUUAUUCCAAUUUUAAUAACAUAUACCAAGUUAGAUAUGCUACUGAGUGACACUUUUUACUUUGUUAUUACAGAUGCGCCAAAUGGAGACAAGUCCGUGGAGAUGACGACAGUUAACAGGACCGGUGUUGCCGCCAUUUCCGGUCAACUGUACGAAAAUGCAUAACAUCACUGUUGGAAGUGAACAAGCCAUUGUUCCCUCAGAGAUUGCAUGUAUGAAAUAAAAUGGGGAGUGACGACACCAAUAACGGAGAAACCCUUCGAUUAUUCAGUAUCAGAAAUAAAGAACACCAAGCUUCCAAGACAAAAUCCGACAUGAAGGUACUGUCAUCUCCGAAACUUAAUCAAGUACCUCCUCAGCCACAUCAUCAUUUAAGGGGGAAGCUCGAAGAAGCCACAGAAAUAAGAAAACACCAUCCUGCCAUGAACCGUCACCAGAGUAAUGAUUAGUCCAAUGCUUGGGAUUCUAUGUUGUAAAUUUUAUAUUG
Molecule: long non-coding RNA, 494 nt
Organism: Haliotis rubra (blacklip abalone)
Lineage: Eukaryota; Metazoa; Mollusca; Gastropoda; Lepetellida; Haliotidae
Exons: 3
Source: RefSeq, a predicted model, not a curated record